RNAcentral lists this long non-coding RNA (1766 nucleotides) under Gossypium raimondii (Peruvian cotton). RNAcentral's name for it is "long non-coding RNA (GRAI_LNC010436)". Lineage: Eukaryota; Viridiplantae; Streptophyta; Magnoliopsida; Malvales; Malvaceae. The record is from RNAcentral.
CUAGAUUAAUUAUUGGUGAUGCUUAUUUUUAUGGUUGUCUAAUAUUUAGUUAUUAUGUCUUAUUUCAGGUACAUCAUGACAAACACUAGAGGUAAAACCAAAGGCGCUAUCCUCAUCUCUAAAAGGCGAAAGACAUUGGGUGCAACCUCAUCUUUAGCCCCAUCUACAAUCACAAGACAUUCAUGUCUCCAAUUUCCUCCAGUCCACACGAGGGCCAGUAUUGUGAGACACUUGGGUUUGGGUCGUUGUAUCGACUAGGAGGCUUUGUAGACAAUCCAUUUAGUUGACAGAGUUCGAGCUCUGAUCAAUACGGCUCCGUGUGACCUAUUUUUCACUAUCGUGGAACCUACAUAUACAGAACUCACACUGGGGGUUAUGUUUGACAUUCUUUUUGCAGUAGGCUAUGUCACGGUGGGAUGAGUCAUGCACUAUCUCUUUUGGACUCGGGGGUACGACACAUAAUCUGAACGUCCUGCACUUUGAAUCCGCUUUUAGAUUUUUUUCUGAGGAGUUUAUGAGUACCCAGAGUUCCCGACCUUAUCUAUGCACAUCCACAGACCGAAUCCACUCUUUUGGUUCAAAAUCACAGAGACUACGACACAGUACAAGCCAAGGUAGUCUAAGGCGACUUGUCUACCUUUGGUCCUACGUUAUAUUCAUGCCAAUCUGGCACGCACAUUGACUGGUUGAAGGGAGAGCACAGGGGUUGUUGGCACGUCUAACGUUUAUUUCUUGUGGAGUUUGGAGGCACGCCACCACAUUGAUGUUGCCUAUUUCGUGGCUCUCAGUUGUCACCACCAGUCUAAUCGGAGUAGGAAGGGCCUUAUCUGUAUGGGUCCUUACAUGACACAGUUAGUGAGAUACUUCAGGAUUAUUAGUUCUCCAGAGUAGACUUCCUUAUUCACAUUGACUGGAUAGAUGAUCCCGUAGAGAUUAUAUAUUAUGAGCCAUAUAAGGAUGAUUCAGCUUCAACACAGAGUAUGUCCUUAUCGAUAUACAUUGUCGCAUUUGGAUCCUCAGGAUGAGCACAAUGAGCUUUCGGAUGAUGAUCUUCCUCUACAUGUAGACUCGACUCGAUCCUCUCCUCCUUCGAGACACUCCACCGUUGCCCAUUCUGUUACACUCGACGACAUUUUUAAGCAGAUUGAUCGCUUUGACUAGCGACAUUCUGAUCGGAUUGACUGUCUUGAGUAGCGGUAGACAAAGUAGAUAGAUCGCCUCAAGCAAUAACACAUGGAGCAAUUCUGCCAUAUUCAAUGACAUCAGGAUCUCUUCGAGGCAUACCUGCAACAAAUGUACUAGCAUUUUCACAUUUCUGCACCAGUUUCCCCCACUACGCCUCGCAAUUCUGACUUACCACCUGUCGCCGAUCAUUGAUUUACUUUAGUUUUCUAUUUUAGUUAUUUUUUUAGUUGUGAUUUAUUUAUUGUUAGUUGUUUUAUUUUAUUUUUGAGACUUAUAUGUUUUGUUUUUCGUUUAUCAUGCACUAUUAUUUUUAUUAUUUUUUCGGUUGUUUUUUUCUAGUUUGUUAUCUCUUUAUCUUAUUUAUUUUUGUCUAUUUUCUUAUUAGUUUGCUCGGAAACAUGUACUUCAUUUAUAAUCGCCUAAGAUUUCAGUUUUCACUAUUUCAACGAAUUCAUCCAGAUUCAAGGGGCAAUUUCAGUUUUCUCCCUCCCUUUUGAUAUUGUGCUUAUUUUAUUUAUAUCUUCUUUUACAUUGAUGGCAAUGUACAUCUUAAGUCUGGAGAGGAUGUUUAUAUGCUUAUG